Molecule: long non-coding RNA, 904 nt
Organism: Coturnix japonica (Japanese quail)
Lineage: Eukaryota; Metazoa; Chordata; Aves; Galliformes; Phasianidae
Source: Ensembl
AUGGGGUCCCCAUAUCCACCCAAUGGAGUUAAUGGGGUUUUAUGGGGUCCCCUAUACCCACUAUGGGGCUUUAUGGGGUCACAAACACUUAUGGGGUUUUAUGGGGUCCCCAUAGACACACAAUGGGGGUUUAUAAGGUCACAAACACUUAUGGGGAUUAUAGGAUCCCCAUAUAAUCCCAAUGGGGUUUAUGGGGUCACAGUCACUUAUGGGGUUUCUGGGUUCCCCUAUACCCACAAUGGGGUUUUAUGGGGUCCCCAUAGACAUACAAUGGGGGUUUAUGGGGUCACAGUCACUUAUGGGGUUUCUGGGUUCCCCUAUACCCACAAUGGGGUUUUAUGGGGUCCCCAUAGACAUACAAUGGGGUUUUAUGGGCUCACAAACUCUUAUGGGGUUUUAUGGGGUCCCCAUAUAAACCCAAUGGGGUUUAUGGUGUUUAUGGGGUUUUAUGGGGUCCCCCAUACCCUCAAUGGGGUUAAUGGGGUUAAUGGGGUUUUAUGGGGUCCCCAUAUCCACCCAAUGGGGUUAAUGGGGUUUUAUAGGGUCCCACCCCAUUCCCCCCCUUUUGGGGUCGCCCCCCCCCCAUAUUGGGGUCUCUUAUGGGGUUCACAGUUGGGGGGGGGGAGGCCGCCCCUAUGGCUUCGCUGUGGGGUCUCUGCGCCUGUGGGGAGACAAUGGACCAGUAUCAACGACCCCAUUACCCCAUAGAUCCCAUUACCCCCAUAGAUCCCAUAGGAUCCCAUUACCCCCAUAGGAUCCCAUUACCCCCAUAGGAUCCCAUUACCCCCAUAGAUCCCAUUAACCCCCAUUGGAUCCCAUUGGAUCCCAUUGCCCCCAUAGAUCCCAUUACCCCCAUUGGAUCCCAUUACCCCCAUAGGAUCCCAUUACCCCCAUUACCCCCAUA